Molecule: long non-coding RNA, 630 nt
Filed under: Fukomys damarensis (Damara mole-rat)
Lineage: Eukaryota; Metazoa; Chordata; Mammalia; Rodentia; Bathyergidae
Description: lncRNA (ENSFDAG00000028615.1)
Source: RNAcentral
AUCACAUGGCCCUUGCCCUUUAGGAGCAUAUAAACUUGUAUAAUUACCUUGUAAUCAAAGCAGUAGAGUGGGUGGAUGAAGAGACCUAUCUGUUAAAACCCACCAGAGCAGGGAGCCUCUCCAGGGUUGGUGCCAACUACCAAGGCCAAGUGGGUUUUACACCCCUCCCUCCUCUUCUAGGCUUCUGAAACUAACAAUAUUGUGACUCAGCCAAAGCAAUCAGAACCAAGCCUUAACAGUUUGAUCAAUAAAACAGAAAUCACAGGACCAACUGGGCCAGCUCAAUUUCUUCUUUCUCCUCUUCCAGACAUUGAAAGGUCUCUAUUCUGCCUCGCAUUCAGGAGAUACCGCAAGGUGAGUCCUUCGGUAGAAUUUCUUCCUCAUAAACACGAGAGGAAGGUAAAAUGUGCUAGUAUGGCCUGCAUUCCAUUAAAAUGUGGGUUUUGCAGUUUCAACUAAAACAAACAAAACAGCGGAGAUUUUUCCAUUGUUCUGAAGCAGCAGAGCAUUGACGAGGAAACGCCCCUGGCUUCCACUAGGGGGCGAUUUUAACGCAGCCGAGAACCGGGAGCCAGGAGGGGGCUGUGGAAGAGAACAAGCAACAGCCGAGCUGGUGUGGUCUGCUACCAG